This is a long non-coding RNA of Parus major (Great Tit), 2313 nucleotides long. RefSeq lists it as uncharacterized. The record is from RefSeq and is a predicted model, not a curated record. Lineage: Eukaryota; Metazoa; Chordata; Aves; Passeriformes; Paridae. The transcript has 2 exons.
CAUACCUUUGUAAUUAAGGGAAAAAAAAAAGAGUUUGUGCUGAGGACUUCUUUCCCUGCUCUCCAGUUUUGGCAGUAGAGAGAAGACAAUUCAAUGCAAUAAUCUGAUGUUUCUUUGUGUUCUUCUGUGGGCUGAAGGGAUGGAUUAUUGUUCAGCCAGAUGAGUUCACUUUGCCACCUCUGCUCCUCACUUUAUACUGCAUCAAUGGCAGCAGGGGGAACUCACCUCAAAAAACCCACCUAAAAGCCCCAGUAAACAGCCCCAAAUCCCAAACCAUCCCUCAGCCUUUCUGGUGGCGCAUCCUGAGCAGUGUCAGGCAAGUGAACACCCUUAGGAGGGGGGGUGCUUUUUGUGCUGGGCUCUUGAGAACUUGGCCAAACUGUAAAGAGAUUCUGGUGUUUCCAGAUGCCUUGGGAAGAAUUCCUGUCCUUUUCCUGUAUCUUACCUCCCUUUUCCACUCCCUGAUUUCAUUCCAUUUUUGUGUUACGCUUGAGGCUGUCAGCAGUGAGGGAAGGAGGGUGCUUCAGGCAGCCAGAGAAGGGAACAGGAGUGGAGCACCCAGGAGCUUUGGUCUGUAGUGUAAAAAUGCAGGAUUUUCCUUGGCAGGUGACUGGUAUGGGAAAGCUUUGUGUGGAACUUGGUCUGUAAGGAAUAAACGUGUCCAGCUGCAUCUCAUUCCCCUUAAAAUCCCUGUUCACCAUAAAUACCUUGAGGGCUGAGAUGCUGCGAGCUGUGCUGUCUUUAGGAAUUCCUUUGCUGUCCUAAUCCAGCUCUUUCCCCUCCAGAGGUGGCAGGUCAGGGGGUAAAACUGCCUCAUUUGGGGGCAGUACCCCAGUGAUCACUUUUGUGCCUCGUGAAGAACAGAGAAACCUCCCCAGGCCCCAAAUGCCUCUCAGCAAAGCCGGACAUCUUUCCUAAUUUAGUCCUGAGCUCCCUGGCAGAUUGUGUUAAGCCUGGUGCAUCCUAAUCAGGGAGAUGGGCCCAGACAGCCGGGGGGUGUGACAAGGACACUGCCUUGGCACUGCUGCUCCAGCUGACAUCACGCCGGAAAUUAAUUACUAAUGUCUAUUAUGAUAAUUACCGGCCUCGCGCAGACGUGAAGGGACUUUGCAGCGGCUGAUUACGCUGGGCACACGGUGACAAUCUGUCUUUGGGAGAGCUCUCCAGCCUGGAAAUGGAAUCCUGGAGGAUUCCAGCCCCCUUGGCUGCUGCCUGUGUUUCUCCCCAGUUUGGGGUUUUCUUUGUUUUCCUCCGGGUUAUUAUUUUCCUUCUCGCAAUCCCUGCCUAGUAACCUGCUUCCUGAUGAAAACACUUAGGGAAACCAUCUUUUUCCUCCCUCUCUCUCUCUUUCUUUUUUUUUAAAUCAUUUUCUAAUUUUAGCCACGUUUGACAGCAGAGCUGAGAUCUGAGGCAUAAAUUUUGUGGUAACUUUUAUGUUGGAGAGGAGGAAAACAUCAAAUCCGUGGCCUAGACUUGGCUCCUGUCAGAUGAGAGACACCCGUGCAGGAGGGAGGGGAGAACAGAAAUGCUUCAUCCCUGAGAAGUUCAGCUUGUACUUCAGUAGCACCAGACAACCCAAAUAUGAAGCUGUAUCUUGAAAGUUCUUCUGCUUUAGUGCUCCUGGAACUCUUUUUUUGAAGUAAAGCUAGGAAAGAUUUUGUUGUUUCAGCUCUGCUAAGUCAACGUGAAAUCCCGUGAAGUCCAAAUUCUGAGAUCUGUGUUCACAUCUAGGCUUGUCUGGGGCUAAUUAAAUAGCCCAGAUAAUGACCCAGGGGGGAAAUCCUCAAUCCCAGGGCAUGCAGAGGACAUUCCCUGAGGGAUGAUGUCAGGCCAGUGACACAUCCCCCGUGUCAGGGAGCCCCGUGAUCACAGAGCUGCUGCAGCACCACCAAGGCUGGGCACUCACCUGUGGGAAUUUUGGGUUUGAACACCAUGGGGGAGAUUAAAUCCACAGAUUGCCUUUGGUCCUCUUCAUGUCAGGAUCUAAACCUCGUAAGGAGGCAGCAGGAUAAACGUUAGGCUUGACUUCACCUGGUUUCUGAUGCAAUCUGGAUCUGGCUGGAGCUUUUCUCAUAGCUGGUGCCUUUAAAACCUUCCCUGAAUCUGCUGUCAGGUACCCUCUGGAUUGGAUGGGUUUGACCUGAGCUGAAACCAGAUCCCUUUUUAUUUAUGGUGGACUUGGAAUUUCACAACCCCUUUUUCAUUGGCAAUAUUUGUGUGUAUUCAGGCAAGGUUUUUUUCCAAUUGGCAGAGAGCUGGACAGAAGCAAAGGGGAGAAACAUAAUCUGAAAAUAAAUGUAAAUUCAGUUCUCA